CAUUCCAUUUAUGCAGUCUCUUAUUUCAUUUCUUUGAGAUUUGGAGCAGCUGUAUCACUGCAUCAUCAUUUGAAACUUGCUGUUAUGAUGUAGUUAUAUAGUUCAUUUCAUUUGAGAUGUUUAUUUGAAAUUUGCGAUGUUUCCUUUGUUUAUAAUAUGUGUGGAUUCAUCUUAGUGCUGGGUAAUUGAGGAAAUGUCUUUGAAAUUGCUGUGAUUUUAAUUUUAGGAGGAUGGCCAUAGUGUACUAACAAGAAAGGCUACUGAGAAUGGCCGCUGGAAUUGUGAUGGAUCACCAUACUCAUGUCUUCUGAGGAAUGAACUGCUUGGUGCUGGCAUUGAAGAUGUUAAAGACCAAUAUGAUGAGAGAGGGGCAUUGGUCCCACUGAAUGGAAGAAAUCUGUUUAAGGUAUCCAUACUGUGAUGCGAUAACUGAGAGAGAGCCGUUGCUAGGUUAUGGCACAGUAUAUGUGGUG
This is a long non-coding RNA of Cryptotermes secundus, 473 nucleotides long. RefSeq lists it as uncharacterized. NCBI's taxonomy places the organism in Eukaryota, Metazoa, Arthropoda, Insecta, Blattodea, Kalotermitidae. The record is from RefSeq and is a predicted model, not a curated record. The transcript has 2 exons.